RNAcentral lists this unclassified non-coding RNA (312 nucleotides) under sea anemone metagenome. Its description in RNAcentral is "partial contains small subunit ribosomal RNA and internal transcribed spacer 1". The stretch from base 1 to 158 matches the Rfam family "Eukaryotic small subunit ribosomal RNA", at positions 1678 to 1831 of the family's 1831-position model. The record is from RNAcentral.
GCUACUACCGAUUGAAUGGUUUAGUGAGGACUCCUGAUUGGCGCCGCCGCCCCGGCAACGGAGCAGCGGACUGCCGAAAAGUUGUUCAAACUUGAUCAUUUAGAGGAAGUAAAAGUCGUAACAAGGUUUUCGUAGGUGAACCUGCAGAAGGAUCAUCCAGUGGGCUCCUACCGAUUGAGUGAUCCGGUGAAUUAUUCGGACUGACGCAGUGCUCAGCUUCUGGACGUUGCGUUGGAAGGUUUCAUGAACCUUAUCACUUAGAGGAAGGAGAAGUCGUAACAAGGUUUCCGUAGUGAACCUGCAGAAGGAUCA